GUGGAUUAGAUACCCUGGUAGUCCACGCCGUAAACGAUGAUCACUAGUUGUUGGCGAUAUACAGUCAGCGACUGAGCGAAAGCAUUAAGUGAUCCACCUGGGGAGUACGACGGCAACGUUGAAACUCAAAGGAAUUGACGGGGGCCCGCACAAGCGGAGGAACAUGUGGUUUAAUUCGAUGAUACGCGAGGAACCUUACCUGGGCUUGAAAGGGGAUUGACUUCUGCCGAAAGGUGGAUUCUCUUCGGAGCAGUCUCCUAGGUGCUGCAUGGUUGUCGUCAGCU
This 284-nucleotide ribosomal RNA is filed under the name uncultured bacterium. Its description in RNAcentral is "partial 16S ribosomal RNA". It matches the Rfam family "Bacterial small subunit ribosomal RNA", at positions 773 to 1060 of the family's 1533-position model. The record is from RNAcentral.